RNAcentral lists this ribosomal RNA (119 nucleotides) under Lepisosteus oculatus (spotted gar). The record is from RNAcentral. Lineage: Eukaryota; Metazoa; Chordata; Actinopteri; Semionotiformes; Lepisosteidae.
UAGAACUGUUUUAUUCCUUAUGUGUAGCCUAAUCGUAUUGGAUCUCAGAAGCUAAGCAAGGAUGGGUCUGGAUAGUACUGGGAUGGGAGACCUCUAAGGAAAAUCGGGCACUUUUCUCA